UAAGGAAUAUUGGUCAAUGGACGAAAGUCUGAACCAGCCAUGCCGCGUGAAGGAUGAAGGCCCUCUGGGUUGUAAACUUCUUUUAUCUGGGACGAAAAAAGCUCAUUCUUGAGCACUUGACGGUACCAGAGGAAUAAGCACCGGCUAACUCCGUGCCAGCAGCCGCGGUAAUACGGAGGGUGCAAGCGUUAUCCGGAUUCACUGGGUUUAAAGGGUGCGUAGGUGGGUUGGUAAGUCAGUGGUGAAAUCUCCGAGCUUAACUCGGAAACUGCCAUUGAUACUAUCAAUCUUGAAUCAUCUGGAGGUAAGCGGAAUAUGUCAUGUAGCGGUGAAAUGCUUAGAUAUGACAUAGAACACCAAUUGCGAAGGCAGCUUACUACGGGUGUAUUGACACUGAGGCACGAAAGCGUGGGGAUCAAACAG
Molecule: ribosomal RNA, 423 nt
Filed under: uncultured bacterium
Lineage: Bacteria
Description: bacterial SSU rRNA
Rfam family: Bacterial small subunit ribosomal RNA
Source: RNAcentral